This 468-nucleotide ribosomal RNA is filed under the name uncultured bacterium. RNAcentral describes it as "partial 16S ribosomal RNA". It matches the Rfam family "Bacterial small subunit ribosomal RNA", at positions 28 to 507 of the family's 1533-position model. The record is from RNAcentral.
GACGAACGCUGGCGGCGUGCUUAACACAUGCAAGUCGAACGGAAAGGCCCUGCUUUUGUGGGGUGCUCGAGUGGCGAACGGGUGAGUAACACGUGAGUAACCUGCCCUUGACUUUGGGAUAACUUCAGGAAACUGGGGCUAAUACCGGAUAGGAUCUCCUGCUGCGUGGGGGGGGUUGGAAAGUUUCGGCGGUUGGGGAUGGACUCGCGGCUUAUCAGCUUGUUGGUGGGGUAGUGGCUUACCAAGGCUUUGACGGGUAGCCGGCCUGAGAGGGUGACCGGCCACAUUGGGACUGAGAUAGGGCCCAGACUCCUACGGGAGGCAGCAGUGGGGAAUAUUGCACAAUGGGGGGAAGCCUGAUGCAGCAACGCCGCGUGCGUGAUGACCGCUUUCGGGUUGUAAACCGAUUUGGCAUGUGACGAAGCGUGAGUGACGGUAAUGGGUAAAGAAGCCCCGGCUAACUACGUG